AGGCUAAAACAAGAGCUGGGGGCUGGAUUCCAUUUAAGUGCUUGAUUCCAGAUUCAGAAUCAAGAUUUCCCAAUUACAAGACGAGGCAAUCAAGUGGGAAGAAAAUUAUGCGCUGACGGAGUGGCUGGUUCUCCGGGAAUAAUGUCUGGGAAGGAAGGGGUGUGAGAUGGGACAAGGAAUAACGUUUCCGUUCCUUUGAUGUCUUCUUUGAACUUGCAUUUUGUAGCACAUUAAGGUGUGCUUUAAGACGCUGUUGUGGAUUUUCUUUUUUCCUGUAUUCCUCCGGAAUCCUCACUUCCGUUUCUUGAUAAAUGGACCAGGUGAACCUUUGCUUCCAGAAGUUCUUCAUAAGAAACAGCGGUGCAAAACAGAAGGCGCCAUUGUGCCCCGCGUUUACGGGUCCGGCAGGAUGGCCGGGGCAGCGUAUCUCUCUACUUCUCGAGGUUACUUUCGGGAAUCUCAUUCUGGCCCACGACUGCUGUAAUCGAUGCAGCACUGAAAGCUGCGUUUCUGUCAGUGCUGCCUUCGGGCCUCCGGGCACAGCAUCCUGCCCAGCCCAUUUCUUCCUGGUAGCCGUAUAGAUCUACUACUCUACAACUGGAUUUGGAAAAAAUGUUACCAUUUUUUUCUUCUGGGUAAAAAAAGAUAUUUUCCUUUAUUAUCUUUUAGUUUCUAAAAAUAGGCUGGAAUUAAAUGUCGUGUACCUUCGGAAUUCGAUUUAUAAACACACUGCGUAUCUAGGCGACUCGCAUUGUCGUUGUUUAUACUCUAGGAAUUCCUUCCAUGGCAACUGCGCGCAGGUCACAGCUAUGGAGCUGCUUACGACGGGCCGAGUCACAGUGUCCACAGGCCGAAUCACCUCCGAAGUCCUUCUCCCCACGGCUCUGCUGAGCACCAGGGUCUCUUCACCUGGCGCCCCUCCCCGCCUCAGCCUUUCUGGAGGCCAGGAAACUGCGCCUGCAUCCCAGCCUCCCUUACAGGCCUCGGCAGCCCUGCCUGCUGUGAACCUGGAUGCAUCCUUAUCUCCUGCCCUGUGGCUUCAUGGGCAGUCUCAGCGGAUCAGCUGCUGCUCAGCAGUGAAUAUGCUCUGCAUUCACCGCACCAGACAAGCAACUCACCUGCACACGCCAGCAGCCACUCAGCCCCUCCGAAACGGUAGCCGGAAGGGGACCGUGGGGUCGCAGCAGACACAGCAGUUGGAAGAAGGCUGGGUUCUAGCACUGAGCUAAGAGCUUGGCUUUUCCUGUAGCCAGAUGUGUUAGAAAGACUUGGCCCUGAGUUUUAAAAUAUUUUGUAAUAGCAAACAGAAGCAUUGGUGUAAUCAAGCACACAAGCAAAAUGUUAAGAAUUUUGAGAAUAAAACUCAUUAAGAUAAAUGAUAAUACGGGGCAAAAGCUCUGCAAUUGCGGGACAUCUCCUUGGAGCAGAUCACACUGUGGCUGAGAUUCUUGGUGAUUUGCUCACCGUGAUUCGGUGACCUGUGCAGUAGCUGCCCAGCUCAGCAUAGCUGCACUAACAUUGGCUGUACACAGGACAGGAGCCAGCUGUGGAAAUUUACACCUACACGGAGAGCAGAGAAGCGCCGCCUCACCUUCCA
This 1597-nucleotide long non-coding RNA is filed under the name Chinchilla lanigera (long-tailed chinchilla). RNAcentral describes it as "lncRNA (ENSCLAG00000026127.1)". The record is from RNAcentral. Lineage: Eukaryota; Metazoa; Chordata; Mammalia; Rodentia; Chinchillidae.